AAGGAUCAUUAACAAUUCCAUUCUAAAUUAACCUUUGUGAACCGACCUCUAGCUGGGUUGAGACUUUGGUCUCUUAAAAGUCCUGCGGAGGAAAAGUGUCAGUGGCCGGUCCAUGCGGCUAGCUGCCGACACUUACAUAGACUAUUUUUGUAUGACUAAAAAGUAUUAUUUUAAACAAAUACAACUUUUAACAGUGGAUCUCUUGGCUCCU
This 211-nucleotide unclassified non-coding RNA is filed under the name uncultured fungus. Its description in RNAcentral is "partial contains 18S rRNA, ITS1, 5.8S rRNA, ITS2 and 28S rRNA". Lineage: Eukaryota; Fungi. The record is from RNAcentral.